This is a microRNA precursor of Pan paniscus (pygmy chimpanzee), 84 nucleotides long. Ensembl annotates it as microRNA 541. Its record names the gene MIR541. The record is from Ensembl. NCBI's taxonomy places the organism in Eukaryota, Metazoa, Chordata, Mammalia, Primates, Hominidae.
ACGUCAGGGAAAGGACUCUGCUGUCGGUCCCACUGCAAAGUUCACAGAAUGGGUGGUGGGCACCGAAUCCGGACUCUGCCUGUG